Molecule: ribosomal RNA, 446 nt
Filed under: uncultured prokaryote
Description: bacterial SSU rRNA
Rfam family: Bacterial small subunit ribosomal RNA
Source: RNAcentral
UGGGGAAUAUUGGACAAUGGGGGCAACCCUGAUCCAGCAAUGCCGCGUGUGUGAAGAAGGCCUGCGGGUUGUAAAGCACUUUCAGUGGGGAAGAGGGCGUGCGUGUAACGAGCGCACGUUGACGUUACCCACAGAAGAAGCACCGGCUAACUCCGUGCCAGCAGCCGCGGUAAUACGGAGGGUGCGAGCGUUAAUCGGAAUUACUGGGCGUAAAGCGCGCGUAGGCGGUUGAGUGAGUCAGAUGUGAAAGCCCCGGGCUCAACCUGGGAAUGGCAUUUGAUACUGCUUGGCUAGAGUCUGACAGAGGGUGGCGGAAUUCCGGGUGUAGCGGUGAAAUGCGUAGAUAUCCGGAGGAACACCGGUGGCGAAGGCGGCCACCUGGGUCGAGACUGACGCUGAGGUGCGAAAGCGUGGGGAGCGAACAGGAUUAGAUACCCGCGUAGUCC